ACGGGGGAUGCGAGCGUUAUCCGGAUUUAUUGGGUUUAAAGGGCGCGUAGGCGGGAUGCCAAGUCAGCGGUAAAAGACUGCAGCUAAACUGUAGCACGCCGUUGAAACUGGUGACCUAGAGAGAAGUCGAGGGAGGCGGAACAAGUGAAGUAGCGGUGAAAUGCUUAGAUAUCACUUGGAACCCCGAUAGCGAAGGCAGCUUCCCAGUCUUUGUCUGACGCUGAUGCGCGAGAGCGUGGGUAGCGAACAG
Molecule: ribosomal RNA, 250 nt
Filed under: uncultured bacterium
Lineage: Bacteria
Description: partial 16S ribosomal RNA
Rfam family: Bacterial small subunit ribosomal RNA
Source: RNAcentral